AAACAACUACGAGUACUUACUUAAAACUUAAAAGACUUGACGGUACUUCAUCACAAUCUAGAGGAGCCUGUCUAAUAACCGAUAACCCACGAUUAACCCCACCCUAUCUCGCCUACAGUCUAUAUACCACCGUCACAAGCUUACCUUAUAAAAGAAACGAAGUGAGCCAAAUAGCCUAACACUAAUAUGACAGGUCGAGGUGUAACUAAUGAUAGGGGUAAGAUGGACUACAUUCUCUAAACAGAGAAUACGAAUGAUUCUAUGAAUAUAGCACCUGAAGGUGGAUUUAGCAGUAAGCUAAGAAUAAAAUACUUAACUGAAAAUAAAGCAAUGAAGUGCGU
This 341-nucleotide ribosomal RNA is filed under the name Causus resimus. Its description in RNAcentral is "partial 12S ribosomal RNA". The record is from RNAcentral. Lineage: Eukaryota; Metazoa; Chordata; Lepidosauria; Squamata; Viperidae.